RNAcentral lists this transfer RNA (58 nucleotides) under Zea mays. It matches the Rfam family "tRNA", at positions 8 to 63 of the family's 71-position model. From Rfam's summary of the family: Transfer RNA (tRNA) molecules are approximately 80 nucleotides in length. Their secondary structure includes four short double-helical elements and three loops (D, anti-codon, and T loops). Further hydrogen bonds mediate the characteristic L-shaped molecular structure. tRNAs have two regions of fundamental functional importance: the anti-codon, which is responsible for specific mRNA codon recognition, and the 3' end, to which the tRNAs corresponding amino acid is attached (by aminoacyl-tRNA synthetases). tRNAs cope with the degeneracy of the genetic code in two manners: having more than one tRNA (with a specific anti-codon) for a particular amino acid; and 'wobble' base-pairing, i.e. permitting non-standard base-pairing at the 3rd anti-codon position. The record is from Rfam by way of RNAcentral. Lineage: Eukaryota; Viridiplantae; Streptophyta; Magnoliopsida; Poales; Poaceae.
UAGCUUAGUCGGUAGAGUGCAAGACUUUUAACCAUGAAGUUGUGGGUUCGAGCCCCAU